This 253-nucleotide ribosomal RNA is filed under the name uncultured bacterium. RNAcentral's name for it is "partial 16S ribosomal RNA". It matches the Rfam family "Bacterial small subunit ribosomal RNA", at positions 524 to 776 of the family's 1533-position model. The record is from RNAcentral.
GACGUAGGGCGCGAGCGUUGUCCGGAUUUAUUGGGCGUAAAGAGCUCGUAGGCGGCUCGUUGCGUCGGCUGUGAAAACCCGCAGCUCAACUGUGGGCUUGCAGCUGAUACGGGCGGGCUGGAGUUCGGUAGGGGAGACUGGAAUUCCUGGUGUAGCGGUGAAAUGCGCAGAUAUCAGGAGGAACACCGGUGGCGAAGGCGGAUCUCUGGGCCUUGCCUGACGCUGAGGCGCGAAAGCUAGGGGAGCGAACAGG